UGAUAAAGCAGUGCUUCAUUAUGACGAAA
This 29-nucleotide non-coding RNA is filed under the name Rattus norvegicus (Norway rat). Lineage: Eukaryota; Metazoa; Chordata; Mammalia; Rodentia; Muridae. The record is from RNAcentral.